RNAcentral lists this long non-coding RNA (360 nucleotides) under Homo sapiens (human). Its description in RNAcentral is "LHRI_LNC920.1". Lineage: Eukaryota; Metazoa; Chordata; Mammalia; Primates; Hominidae. The record is from RNAcentral.
AUGGAGUCUCGCUCUGUCGCCAGGCUGGAGUGCAGUGGCACAAUCUCAGCUCACUGCAACCUCUACCUCCUCGGUUCAAGCAAUUCUCCUGCCUCAGCCUCCCAAGUAGCUGGGACUAUAGGCACGCACCAGCACGCCUGGAUAGUUUUUGUAUUUUUAGUAGAGACGGGGUUUCACCCAUGUUGGCCAGGAUGGUCUCGAUCUCUUGACCUCAUGAUCCGCCCGCCUCGGCCUCCCAAAGUGCUGGGAUUACAGGCGUGCGCCAGUUAAGCCAGAAUCUUUAGAGUGAGACCCAGGCAAUGGCGAUUUUAGGCUCUCCAGGUGAUUACAAUAUGCAACCAUGCUCCCAAAUGUCUGCUG